UGCUACGAAAAGAGCACUCUAAUGAGACUGCCGGUGACAAACCGGAGGAAGGUGGGGAUGACGUCAAGUCCUCAUGGCCCUUAUGGGUAGGGCUUCACACGUCAUACAAUGGUACAUACAGAGCGCCGCCAACCCGCGAGGGGGAGCUAAUCGCAGAAAGUGUAUCGUAGUCCGGAUUGUAGUCUGCAACUCGACUGCAUGAAGUUGGAAUCGCUAGUAAUCGCGGAUCAGCAUGUCGCGGUGAAUACGUUCCCGGGUCUUGUACACACCGCCCGUCACACCAUGGGAGCGGGUUUUACCAGAAGUAGGUAGCUUAACCGCAAGGAGGGCGCUUACCACGGUAGGAUUCGUGACUGGGGUGAAGUCGUAACAAGGUAACCAAG
RNAcentral lists this ribosomal RNA (383 nucleotides) under uncultured bacterium. RNAcentral describes it as "bacterial SSU rRNA". It matches the Rfam family "Bacterial small subunit ribosomal RNA", at positions 1116 to 1504 of the family's 1533-position model. The record is from RNAcentral.